ACUAUGCAACUAUGCAACUAUGCAACUGUGCAACUAUGCAACUAUGCAACUGUACAACUAUGCAACUGUACAAUUAUGCAACUGUUCAGCUGUACAAAUAUGCAACUGUUCAGCUGUACAAAUAUGCAACUAUUCAGCUGUACAAUUAUAUAUAUGUAUAUACAACUAUAUGUGUGUGUUUAUAUAAAUAUUUGCAUAUAUGACACUAACCAUUAUGUUCUUAUUCUUUUGUGUAGCGAAGCAAACUGUGUAUAUACCUACCACUCUAUAUUUUUUAUUUAUUUAUUUUUUUAUUUUUUUUUUUUUUUUAGCGGACACAUCUUGAACGACAAAGACGAUGAAAAGUGUAUUUGUAUAAAAUUGGUUGACGGUGGGAGUAAGACAGAACUGAUGAAAAGUAAAAGUGGUUUAGGAAAUAUAAAAAAAAACGAGUGCAAUAGUGUAAGAUUUGAAAUAAAUCAUGCUGAUGUAAAAGGUAGUGACAUAAAAAAAAUGCGUUCAUGUAAUUCUUCACCAAUAAAUAUAAAACUAAAUAACAGCGAUACUCAAUUUUUGAAUUUUCGAAGUAAAAUUUAUGAAAAUAAAAGUUUAGAAAUAAAUUUUAUUAACAAUACAGGUAAAAAAGUAGAAGUAAGUUCAAAUAUUGCUCAUGUGUAUGUAAAAGAUUUAAAAAAGAAAAAAAAUGCGACAUCUAUAGAUGAUUUUGAAGAAGAUAUAAUUAACAACUUAAAUCGAUAUAAUAAUAAUAAUAAUACAAUUGUUGAUAGUAAUAAUAAUGGUGAUAGGACACAGGUAUAUAACCAAUGUAUAGCUUGUUCUUCAAUGAAUAAUAAUUUAAUCAAUUUUUUAAACAAAACAGGAAAUUAUUUUAAUUGUUUUUUUACUGACGAAAUAAAAUAUUUUAUUAGUAAUGAAAAUGAGUUAAAGAAAUUAAAAUUUCAUUUUUGUCCUUUUUUUGAAGGUAACUAUUUUUGUUUUUUACUUUUUUGUGUUAAAGAUAUAAAAAAUAACUAUUUAAUAUCUACAAGUAAAAUAAAUUGUUUAUUUUUUAUUAAUAAUAUUAAAGAAGAUGAAUUGAUUAAACUGAGUUCUAAAACUUUUAGUUUUACAUGUAAUAUACAAUUAUGUCCUAUAAAUAAAACUUUUUUAAAAAGUGUACAUUUUAUUUUAUGUAACUUAAAUAAAUUAGAUAUAAACUUUUUUUUAAUAUAUUUAAAAAGCUAUUUAGAAUAUAUAAACGAAAAUAAGAAUAAUUUUUGUAUGAUGUCUGAUAGCAGUAGUAUAAGUAUGGAAGAUAAUAAAAUGGUUUCUUUUGUGGGUUUUGAUUUUGAUAAGUAUAUUAAGAAUGUGUUGUUUAAUCCUACCACUGUUCUUACUACUGCUCUUACUACUGCUCCUACUACUGUUCUUACUACUGCUCCUACCACUGCUCUUACUACUACUC
RNAcentral lists this long non-coding RNA (1444 nucleotides) under Piliocolobus tephrosceles (Ugandan red Colobus). RNAcentral describes it as "lncRNA (ENSPTEG00000014834.1)". Lineage: Eukaryota; Metazoa; Chordata; Mammalia; Primates; Cercopithecidae. The record is from RNAcentral.